UCACUAAGAGCUUUAAUGUUCUUAUUUGCAAAGUUUUGAUUUUAUUUUUAUUCGUAGUAAAAGUUAGUCCAUAGCUACUCAAUCCGUAACUAAUUGUUGCCUCGACCAAAGAGUGAUACAGGGUGUACAAAAUAUUUUUACUCACCGAUGACUUUAAGUGAUAAAUUUUACCAAAUACUGUGCGGAGUUUCGAACAUACUGAGUUAACAUGUGCACUCCAUGAGAAAUUUUUAUCAACAAUGAGCCCUAGAUAUUUAUACGACGUUACCUGUUCCAACUAACUACAUUGACAUAUUUGUGAGGAACUAUGCAAGCAAGACUGGCGCGUGCGUGGAGAGUUUGUCUCGCAGCAGCGGGAAGAAGCUGCGAGCGGUAGCGUUGUGUGGCUCGUACUGCAGGAUCAGGCGGCAGUAUUUGAGGGCUUCUGCGUACUGGCGCCGCAUGAUCGCCGACAGGAACUGCAACAUACUCAGACAUAUUGAGAAUUGAUGAUCGCGAACCUACUUCAGCCAGGAACUCGCUGGGCGCAGAGGAUCCCUCGUGCCCGUCGGAACACUCCGGGCUGGGCGAAGCCGAGGGUGCGGCGAAAGUGGCCUGGGCAUCCAUACUACGGCGGGGGGCGCGAGCCACCAGCUCCAGCGACGAGGUGUCGCGCGCUCGGAAGUGCUCGCUGGUGGGCAGGUAGCGCUCCGUU
This is a long non-coding RNA of Leptidea sinapis, 694 nucleotides long. RefSeq lists it as uncharacterized. The record is from RefSeq and is a predicted model, not a curated record. Lineage: Eukaryota; Metazoa; Arthropoda; Insecta; Lepidoptera; Pieridae. The transcript has 3 exons.